Molecule: ribosomal RNA, 90 nt
Filed under: Rickettsia rickettsii
Lineage: Bacteria; Pseudomonadati; Pseudomonadota; Alphaproteobacteria; Rickettsiales; Rickettsiaceae
Source: RNAcentral
AGCUUGGUGGUUAUAGCAUGAGUGAAACACACGAUCCCAUCCCGAACUCGAAUGUGAAACCUCAUAGCGCUAAUGGUACUAUGUCAUAAG